CCUACGGGGGGCAGCAGUAGGGAAUUUUCGGCAAUGGGGGGAACCCUGACCGAGCAACGCCGCGUGAACGAAGAAGUUAUUCGUAAUGUAAAGUUCUUUUAACAGGGAAGAAAGAGAAAUUUGACGGUACCUGAAGAAUAAGCUCCGGCUAACUACGUGCCAGCAGCCGCGGUAAUACGUAGGGGGCGAGCGUUAUCCGGAUUUAUUGGGCGAAAAGGGUGCGUAGAUGGCAUAGUAAGUCUUUUGUAAAAAUGCUGGGCUAAACCCAGUAGGGCAAAAGAUACUGCACGGCUAGAGUAUGACAGAGGCAAGUGGAACUACAGGUGUAGCGGUAAAAUGCGUAAAUAUAUGUAAGAACACCAGUGGCGAAGGCGGCUUGCUGGGUCGAUACUGACAUUGAGGCACGAAAGCGUGGGGAGCAAACAGGAUUAGAUACCCGAGUAGUC
RNAcentral lists this ribosomal RNA (446 nucleotides) under uncultured bacterium. RNAcentral describes it as "partial 16S ribosomal RNA". It matches the Rfam family "Bacterial small subunit ribosomal RNA", at positions 338 to 795 of the family's 1533-position model. The record is from RNAcentral.